GUGUCUCCUGUGUGCUCUGUGUAGCCACGGAGAAGAGCAGACAGGGAAGGGGCCACAGGGCUGUGCCCCGGGCCUGUGCCUUGCACGGCUCCUUUGCUGGCCCCAGGGACCCUGAGAAUCUCCUAUAGAGCCACAGCAGCUGUUCUGUCCUGCCUUUCUUUGCAGCCAAGCCUCUUGGUGAAGGCGCUGCAGCUCCUCAACCCCCACCCAGGACUGAGCCUCAGAGAGGUGGUGAGGGUAGGUCAAGGCCUUUCCCCCAGGGAGAGCGGCCAGCUCAGAGCCCAGAGCUCGGCCAGGGCAGCAUCACUGCAGGUGCCAGGACAGAGCCGUGCACGUGUGUGCCCUCGGCCUGCACGAUCCCCUCAGGGCUCCUGCAGCUCAGAGCUGCCUGUGCAGAUCAGCAGAGAUGAGAGAAGCUUCUGUGGCUGUUUAGUUACAGGUGUGUCUGAAGAAAGGAUUUCUCCAGCUCCUGGGCUGGAUGCUGCACACAAGCCUGACUCCCAUCCCAGCGUUCCUCCAACAGAAAAGACCAAAUACACCUCAGACAAGAAAUCCCAGGAGCGAUUUGAAGUCAUGUGGAAAAUGCUGAAGGAAAUGCUUCAGGGAGGACAAGAAGUGGAUGAAGAGGCUGUGCUGAAGGCAGUGUUUCCCGGAGGAAGCAGUGGUUCACUGGCAGCCUCUGCUGCAGGAAGGGAGGCCAUGCCAGGCACAGUCCCAGGAGGUAAUUGCUGUGCCUCUGGGCCUGAGCCCUGCUGAGGCUUGAGCUGCCAUCUCUGCUGCUUGGCAGUGCAGGCACAGCCUGGACAAGACCGGCACAGCCCAGAGGAAUUAUCCCCAGCAGGCUCAGGACAGUCGGCUACUGAUCAGUCCUGUUGGGCUCCCUGCAUGGGAGACACGUCCCAAAACCCAGCAGUGGCUGCAAAAGGGUGCCCGUGGUGGGGAAAGGGCAGAGGGGGAGGUCAAGGCUCCACUGCAUCCUGAGAGGGCCUGGCUCUGUCCCCUUGGGCUGUAGGAGCUGUCCCAGCAGAGGGAGGGCAGGAGGGAUGGAGCGGGGAAGGGAUAUUUGUGGCACUGCCUGCUGUUGUUUUCCCCAGGGCUUUAGGGAGGGUUUUCUCUUUGGGAGGGGAG
RNAcentral lists this long non-coding RNA (1128 nucleotides) under Cyanistes caeruleus (blue tit). RNAcentral's name for it is "lncRNA (ENSCCEG00000001203.1)". Lineage: Eukaryota; Metazoa; Chordata; Aves; Passeriformes; Paridae. The record is from RNAcentral.